Long non-coding RNA from Apteryx rowi (Okarito brown kiwi), 1651 nucleotides. The record is from Ensembl. NCBI's taxonomy places the organism in Eukaryota, Metazoa, Chordata, Aves, Apterygiformes, Apterygidae.
GCGGCGGCGGCGGCGGGCCGGCCCCGCUCCUCCUCUCGGCGCCUCGCCGCUCCCUUCCCUCGCUGGCUCUUUCUCUCGCUCCCUCAUUUCUGUGUGGCUGGCCACCCCUCUCCCCAGUGCUGAGUGUCUGAGAGCCGUUGGCUGCUCUGAACCGUUUGGCUCCUUCCCUUAGUAACAGCUUUUACAUUCUGCCUCAAUUCCUCUUCAAUCUAAAUCACACACACACACAGAUAUUACUUUUUUUCCUCCUUCCUUGGGACUUAAUCUCUAAUCCCCCCCCCUUCUUUCCCCACCCUCCCCCUCCCCCCCCAGUCUCUGGCUUGGGAUAUAAUUGAAUAUCACAGCAGUAUUUGGUGGUUAUUUUUUUUCUUCCUCCUUCUGUUUUUUUUUCCUGUUUUUUUUUUCCUCCUCUUGGUGUGGACACCUCAGCUAAAAAAAUAUUAUACAUACAUAUAUGUGUAUAUAUAUAUAUACACACACAGACACACAUAUGCGUGUAUAUAUAUACCGAGCUGUAUAAAAAAAAAAGGAGGAGAGAAAAACAAGGGUGAAUUUCUUUUUUGCCUCCAUUCCAAAGGAAGGGGGGGGAGCAGCCACUCAGCCAUCAAUUGCAAGUGGAAAUGCCRGCAGAGUCCCAGCGUUACAUACUGAGUAGGCCUCUGACGUGCAGCCGGGAGGGCAGGGAUGCCUGCUGUGAAGACCCUCUCCGUUCUGUUUUGUAUCGCCUCCAGACCUGCCCGCUCUAUCGGGAGCUUAGAGACUGCCGUUAAAUCAAAGAGCUUGGAGCACGUCUGCCAUGCGCGGUGCUGGGCAGCAUGGAGACUUGCAGGCCGACCCAAAGUCGGCCCGGCCGUCUGGCCAUGCGUGUGACUUCUGAGCGUUCAUCUGUUUGCUGCUUAGGGCGUGCGUUGCCUCCCGUUACCCUUCCCUAGCCCGAUCGCUUUACUGCCUGGUGGUGGUCUGCGUCCCCUGCGUUAGAGCUGUCUGCAGGAUCUGGCCUUCGUGCUGAGGUUAUAGGUGUGUUAUGCCCUCACCUAGCGCGCGGAGGCUGUUAGGUGCAGUUGGGACCCCAGGACUGUCACAGUACGAGUAAUUAUAAUAUAUGGUAUCACAAUAUAAAUAAUACCCUCUUUUAUUCAGCAGUACAGAAGUUAUGGUCUUUCUGGAAUACCAAAAUGUAGGAGCGCUUCAUCUGCUGUUUGGCUGAUAGAACAAAUAGAGUAGUUCAGCUUUCUUAAAUGACCGUGUUUCGUGCUUAGUGCUUCACCUUUAAAGGGAGAACGCCUUAGGAUGUGGGUAUGACCUUUGCGUUUUACUUCAAUUGCUUUUCAGUGACUUGCACCCAGAAAUAGAGAUAUUACCUGUGUGUCAGUUGCUGCAUGCCUUUUCUGCCCUACUUAAAAUCUUUUUCUUUUAAAAGUAUUGAACUGUUUCUGAAUAUUGAAUAUAGGUCCUGCAUUAGGUCAGGGUGUCUUUCAAACCUUAAUUUACACCUUUGAGUACCUAAUACUAGAAGAAAUGUCUGCUAGGCCUGGGACAGAGUGCAGUGAAAAUGAUAUAAAUUAACGUGCAAAAAACCUUGUUUAAGUAGUUGAUUUUUGUUUUGUUUUUGAUAUACAAAAAUCACACUUUUUAAAGAAUUGAAAUAACC